AUCAUGGCUCAGAUUGAACGCUGGCGGCAGGCUUAACACAUGCAAGUCGAGCGGUAGCACAGGGGAGCUUGCUCCCUGGGUGACGAGCGGCGGACGGGUGAGUAAUGUCUGGGAAACUGCCUGAUGGAGGGGGAUAACUACUGGAAACGGUAGCUAAUACCGCAUAACGUCGCAAGACCAAAGAGGGGGACCUUCGGGCCUCUUGCCAUCAGAUGUGCCCAGAUGGGAUUAGCUAGUAGGUGGGGUAAUGGCUCACCUAGGCGACGAUCCCUAGCUGGUCUGAGAGGAUGACCAGCCACACUGGAACUGA
This 310-nucleotide ribosomal RNA is filed under the name uncultured Serratia sp. RNAcentral's name for it is "bacterial SSU rRNA". It matches the Rfam family "Bacterial small subunit ribosomal RNA", at positions 16 to 322 of the family's 1533-position model. The record is from RNAcentral. Lineage: Bacteria; Pseudomonadati; Pseudomonadota; Gammaproteobacteria; Enterobacterales; Yersiniaceae.